GACGAACGCUGGCGGCGUGCUUAACACAUGCAAGUCGAACGGAAAGGCCCUGCUUUUGUGGGGUGCUCGAGUGGCGAACGGGUGAGUAACACGUGAGUAACCUGCCCUUGACUUUGGGAUAACUUCAGGAAACUGGGGCUAAUACCGGAUAGGAGCUCCUGCUGCAUGGUGGGGGUUGGAAAGUUUCGGCGGUUGGGGAUGGACUCGCGGCUUAUCAGCUUGUUGGUGGGGUAGUGGCUUACCAAGGCUUUGACGGGUAGCCGGCCUGAGAGGGUGACCGGGCCCAUUGGGAACGGGGUAAGGCCCCGAACCCCACCGGGGGGAAGAGGGGGGAAAAUUGGAAAAAGGGGGGAAGCCUGAUGGAGGAACCCCGGGGGGGGGAAGGCGGCCUUCGGGUUGUAAACCCCUUUCGCCUGUGAAGAAGGGGGAGGGAAGGUAAAGGGUAAAGAAGCAACGGCUAAAUACGGG
This 468-nucleotide ribosomal RNA is filed under the name uncultured bacterium. Its description in RNAcentral is "partial 16S ribosomal RNA". It matches the Rfam family "Bacterial small subunit ribosomal RNA", at positions 28 to 507 of the family's 1533-position model. The record is from RNAcentral.